GACGAACGCUGGCGGCAUGCCUAACACAUGCAAGUCGAGCGAGUAGAUCCCUUCGGGGUGAAGCUAGCGGCGGACGGGUGAGUAACACGUGGGCAACCUGCCUCAUAGAGGGGAAUAGCCUUCCGAAAGGAAGAUUAAUACCGCAUAAGAUUGUAGUACCGCAUGGUAUAGCAAUUAAAGGAGCAAUCCGCUAUGAGAUGGGCCCGCGGCGCAUUAGCUAGUUGGUGAGGUAACGGCUCACCAAGGCGACGAUGCGUAGCCGACCUGAGAGGGUGAUCGGCCACAUUGGGGCUGAGACACGGCCCAGACUCCUACGGGAGGCGGCAGUGGGGAAUAUUGCACAAUGGGGGAAACCCUGAUGCAGCAAUGCCGCGUGAGUGAUGACGGCCUUCGGGUUGUAAAGCUCUGUCUUCGGGGACGAUAAUGACGGUACCCGAGGAGGAAGCCACGGCUAACUACGUGCCAGCAGCCGCAGUAA
This 478-nucleotide ribosomal RNA is filed under the name uncultured bacterium. RNAcentral describes it as "partial 16S ribosomal RNA". It matches the Rfam family "Bacterial small subunit ribosomal RNA", at positions 28 to 523 of the family's 1533-position model. The record is from RNAcentral.